This 505-nucleotide ribosomal RNA is filed under the name uncultured bacterium. Its description in RNAcentral is "partial 16S ribosomal RNA". It matches the Rfam family "Bacterial small subunit ribosomal RNA", at positions 28 to 507 of the family's 1533-position model. The record is from RNAcentral.
GACGAACGCUGGCGGCGUGCCUAAUACAUGCAAGUAGAACGCACAGUUUAUACCGUAGCUUGCUACACCAUACACUGUGAGUUGCGAACGGGUGAGUAACGCGUAGGUUACCUGCCUGGUAUCGGUGGAUAACUAUUGGAAACGUUAGCUAUUAUCGCUUAAUAUUCAUUAUUCCAUGAUAAUUGAUUGAAAGAUGCUAUUUCAUCACUACCUGCUGGCCCUGCGUUGUAUUAGCUGGUAGGUGAGGUAACGGCUCACCUAAGCGACGAUACAAAUCCGAACUUAGGAGGGGAACGGCCACACUGGGAAUGGGACACGGCCCAAACUCCUACGGGAGGCAGCAAUAAGGAAUCUUCGGGAAUGGACGAAAGUCCGACCGGGCAACGCCGCGGGAGUGAAGAAAGUUUUCGGGUCGUAAAGCUCUGUUGUAAGAGAAGAAAGAGAGUGAGAGUGGAAAGUGCACAAUGUGACGGUAUCUUACCAGAAAGGGACGGCUAACUACGUG